RNAcentral lists this ribosomal RNA (290 nucleotides) under uncultured bacterium. Its description in RNAcentral is "partial 16S ribosomal RNA". It matches the Rfam family "Bacterial small subunit ribosomal RNA", at positions 8 to 290 of the family's 1533-position model. The record is from RNAcentral.
AGAGUUUGAUCAUGGCUCAGGAUAAACGCUGGCGGCGCACAUAAGACAUGCAAGUCGAACGGACUUAACCAUUAGUUUACUAUUGGAGCGGUUAGUGGCGGACUGGUGAGUAACACGUAAGCAACCUGCCUGUUAGAGGGGAACAACAGUAGAAAUGACUGCUAAUACCGCAUAUGCCUUAGUUAUCGCAUGAUAAUAGAGGGAAAGGAGCAAUCCGCUAACAGAUGGGCUUGCGUCUGAUUAGAUAGUUGGUGUGGUAACGGCAUACCAAGUCGACGAUCAGUAGCCGG